AAAAAUCAAGAUAUCAAUUCAAAAGCUUUUAGGACCCCAAAAGUUAAAAUUAUCAAAAUUUCAGUAAAGAAUAAUAAAAAAAAAAAAAUAUUAAAAAUAUGUGUGACCCAUUUGCUUUAAAUUCCUAUGGUUCAUGUUGCAUACAGUGUGAUCCUUGCUGCAUACCUUAUGGGCCUUAUUUUGGAUCCGAAGUGGAAGCAAUACCACAAAUUCUUCCACAAAAACCAAUUUCAUCUUUAAAAAAGAAACCUGUUAAAAGAAACAAGGUUAAACCUUUGAUGGUAGAAAAGAUAAACAAAAAUAGAACUAAAAUAAAAUUGCCAAAAACUCGAA
This is a long non-coding RNA of Episyrphus balteatus (marmalade hoverfly), 333 nucleotides long. RefSeq lists it as uncharacterized. The record is from RefSeq and is a predicted model, not a curated record. The transcript has 3 exons. NCBI's taxonomy places the organism in Eukaryota, Metazoa, Arthropoda, Insecta, Diptera, Syrphidae.